Long non-coding RNA from Gallus gallus (chicken), 13852 nucleotides. NCBI's taxonomy places the organism in Eukaryota, Metazoa, Chordata, Aves, Galliformes, Phasianidae. The record is from Ensembl.
CAAUAAAGAAAAACAAACAAACAAAAAGUUUAGCAAGCUUUUCCUACAUCUUCCACUAAGUUCAGUAAAUAAUUCAGAGAAAAUAAGUUCAAAGAAUAUCCUAAUUCUUCACUGAAUUCUUCUGACAGUCUGUUAACAAACAGGUAAUAGUUAAUUUACUGUUAUUUAGGAUAAUUGAAGUGGUUUUGUUUAUUUAUUAUUUUAUUUGCUUAUAGAACUAGCACCACAGUAUGAAUCUUGUACUGCCUUAUGUCAUAUGAGACUCCACUCACAGUACCAAUUUAACAAGUUGGUUACAUAUUACAGAAUUUGUGGUGUGUUACUAAAUACAUAGGUGAAACAGAGUGAGCAAUGUCAAAAUGAAAUACUCCUGUGUAUUUAAGUAAGUAUCAAUAAUAUUAUUUUUCUUAUUUGUUCAAAACUGGAACUUUACAUAUGAAGGUACAAAUGUUAUCUCCCUUAUUUAUUUUAUUUUAUUUUAUUUUAUUUUAUUUUAUUUUAUUUUAUUUUAUUUUAUUUUAUUUAUGUGACCGCUGCUUGAAAUGAUAUCAUUGGCAAAAUUACACCUAUACUUUAUACUGUUAAUAUCUCUUAUUUUAUAGCCAAUCCCAAUUCAUUUUAUUAUUUACAUUCUUAUGUCAUAAGACAGGCAAGGAGCACAAUAACAGCCAUUAUUUAAGGAUUUAUUGAUGAAAUAUUUUGCAAAGGGUAGUAAAAGAAAAGCUUUCAUACACAUACAAACAUAUUUUGAUUUUAAAAGUUGAAAAUUGUCAAGUCUGAUGCAAAUUGAAUGAAGGAAUAGUAGCAUUUGGUUAUAUAUCUCCUGGCAGCACUGUGGAAAUUCUAUCUUGGUAAUAAAUAGUGUUAUAUAAAUGACAUCUAGAUUUUUAAAUGUAAUAUUAAUCUAUGUCAGGCACGCUAAGUUAUCAUAAACACCUUUUAUGUAUACACACACAAAAUUUAAAAUAACAUGAUGUUUAUCAUUGUGGAUACUGACAUUUAAUAAUUCAAUAUUAUUGAAAUUGAAUUAUUUAAAGUAAAAAUAGAUUGAUAUAAUUUUAGGGUUUUGGGGGUUAUAUUCUUCUAGUUAAUUCUCUGUUGCCAAAUAUUUCAGGUUUCCACCCCAUUGUUGAAGUAACUACACAGGAAAAUGCCCUUUUGUAGACAUCCCAGCACGAAACACAACUGUAAUUCUCCGUAACUCUGAUCCAGUGAGAUAGUGCACUUCCUCAUUUCCAGAUGAAGUCAGGACUGUCACAGAUCUAGAAUCAAUCUGACAGACAGAAAGCUCAGACAUGGAGCUUUGUGCAUGAAAACAGCAGGAAAGCAGAGUAUGCAGAGCUAGAAAACACAUAUGACAUCCUCAUCUAGGAGAAAAUGUCUUCUUUUCCCGAAAUUCCUUUCUGCAAAAUGGUGAUUUGUGUAUAAAAUCUUCAUGAAAGUUGUGAUCCAACUGACUUGGGUUUUGACAUAUAGAACUUCCAGGUAAAUUUUUGUAUUACAAAAGUUUUAUUAAUUUUGAGGAGGUGCAAGCCGUGCAAAAUUUAGUCUCAGUUCUUUGCAUUUGUUUACUAACAGAUAAAAGAACUAUACUUUUUCACCAGUGUACAUUUAUAUAAAAAAUAUAUAAACAAAUAUAAAUAAAUUUAGGUUUGUUUUCUGUUAGUUUAUCUAUAGUUUAUGUCAUAAAUGUACGGAGAGUUUAUCAGCAUCAGUAUAAAUCUUUUCCAACCUAUCAACUUGUUUCAGUUAAAAUAUAGUGGAAGGUUUUUCUAAAAUAGUAAACACUUAAGGUUUCCUGCAAAUUGGUAGCAGGCAAGAAGUAGGGAGAUUUCUUUAUUUCCUCUGAUGAGGGAGAUGUAGGGAUGACUCAGACAUUAUUGUGAAGGACUGAACAUACAUAGCUGUCUAGCUCAUCUUACAGCUAGUGCUUCUGCGUGGCUUCGGUAUGUUCUCUCUUGGCCAGUGUACAGAUCAAAGGAGUAGAUAGAGAUAUGAGGAGAAAAUGGGGAUUAGUGCUUGAGGGCAUGGCCUAAAGAUCUAGAUGGAAAAGAGAAUGCAACUGGAAUAUUAGUGGAAAAUACAUCAGAAAUUUACAGAAAACAAGUAAUAGUUUAAUUGCUCAUGAAAAGAGUGCUCGAGUUUGCCCUUUCUUAUUUCAUUUUUUUAGGCUAACCAGUCUGUAAUAGUUUUUCUUGCUCUUGGCUACGUGUCACAUGAACAGCUGGUAUAUAUUGCUUACAAAUAACAGCUCUGAAUGAGAGAGAGAAUGAUUGUAAAUUUGAUGCAUACUCCUGUCUCAUCUCUUCCAUUGAUUCAGAUAUGAGCAAUGUAAAAUGAUUUUUUUUUAAUUGCGUUUGUACAAUGGACAUUAUUAAGAAAAUCUCUACAGAACAACGUUAUGAACCUGUGUAGAAAUAUUAUUACUUCUGCAUUGUUGGGAAUCCAAAACAUCUGGAUUAAAUGUGACUGAAUGCUGAUGGAGUUAUUGCUGAAAUUUCAGGAUCCUUGUUAAUCACAAUAACGUUGGUACAUUCAGAAUUUUACUUCUCUUGGUAAUAAACUGAGUAUAUAUGGUCUCCUGGUCCCUUUUUAACUCCUUUCCGUCUUCUCUUAUAUUAAACUCAUCUCUGUAUCUUGAUGUCAUCACAGCACAUAAGCUUAAACAAACUGAUUAUAUUGCUUUCUUGCAAUAACUUUUCCAACAUCAGAACUGUGUUUAUAUUAUACCUGGAACUACUCAAAAAGCUCUAGGUACCUUAAUCUCAUUAGUAAUUAGUUUCACAGGCUACAUCUUUGUAAGUCCAUCUUGCUUUCUUCCACUACCUUAAGAGUAGCAUCCUAAGAAGGAUGCAUACCUCCAGAAAGCUGCAUUUUUUUUACUCUCUCUCCCACAUGCAUGCUAAUGGAUUUCUACUACAUUUCAUUUAAAAGUCUACAUUUCAACAUAUAUGAAUCCACUCUCAUAAAUGAUUCAUAUUCUUAAAUAAUUCUGUAUUUUGAUUUCAAAAUUCUUUGCCUGUGUGUCUAUAGCAAAGGAUGAAUGUGAAAUUGUUAAUUCUAACAUACGUUGAGGAAGGUGAAAUAAAAAAAAUGCCCUUUUUUGAUAUACAGCCUAGUGGAAAAUCAGUCACUGUUAUUAAACUGUGACUGACUUUACAUCAUGAAUAUGUGAAAAAGUAUUUAAACUUGAAGAAAAAAAAUAACAUGGAGGGUAGAAAGUAAAGAAGAAAAUCCUGCUGUAUUGGAAGAGGGAUUAGUGUGGUCCUAAAAUGUCUCAGUAACCUAGACAUUUAGAUCUCAGAAGGCCUAUGAGAGGAUAUUUUUUUUGAGGCUUAAAAUGUAGAGUUGGCAAAUGUAAACCUAUUCCUAAACACCAAAUAAAAACAUCAACAAGGAUUAGAACAUGAUAAAUUUCUCAAGAUAAAAGCAGUAGAGAGACAGCUGGUCAACAGCUGUGAAAACAGAAUUAAAACUUGCAUAAAUUGUAAACGAUAUUCCCCAAACCAAACUUGAAUCCAAAUAAUACAAUAUGUAUAAUCUCAGCACAGGAUUCAAAUUGGGUCAACAGGACACUGUGACGGAUUCUGUGGAUGACUGCCAGCAUACCCAGGCAAUUGCAGCCCAUUGACCAAUGUCAAACAGUUCAAGUUUGCUUUCCCCACAGACUCUGUUUUUUCAAAUAAAUAUAUCUUGCAGUAUAUGAGCCAGUAAUUACUCAACAACAUAAAGCUGACUGUAAGAUUUGGAGCUUAAAGCAAAUCGCAUUUAAUCGUAAUUCAAUAUGGCAUGUGAGUGAUAAGAGUAAGGAUUUCAAACAUACAUAGGAUUUAGAAGAAUGAAGGAAGGACAAAUUCUGGACAGUAUCAGAAUUAGUAAAAGAAAAUGUUAAAGGGUAAAAGACUAACAUAUACGAAUGUGUUGGUUUCCUUAAGAAAAGAAAUAUUUUUUUUUCUGUAUGUUCUACAUAAUGUCAGUUUAUUUGAAAAAAAAAAAUCUAUAUAGUUGUUAAGUCCAUUCUAUUAUUAUUAUUAUUCCAGUUGCAGACUGGAUUUUUAGUAACUGUUUUCUUUAUCUAUGCAGAAAAAAUCUAGAACAAUAGAAUGGCUUGGGUUGGAAGGGAUGAUCUAGUUCAUAAUGUGCUGCCAUGACAGAGGUGCACCCAUUAGAUCAGGUUGCCCAGGUACCCAUUCAACCUGACGAUCACCUCCCUCACCCUAUUCAUGAUCCUUUUUUUGAUGCAGCCUGAGUUACAGUUGGCCUUCUGGGCUGUAAACACACACUGCUGGCAAAUGUCCAACUUUUAAUCCACUAGAACCCUCAAGUUCUUUGCCAGACUGCUCUAAAUGAAUUCUUAUCUAGAUCUGCAUAUGUAACUGUCCUGACUCAGGACGUUGCACUUAGCCUUGUUGAACCUCUUCAUGUUCACAUGGGUCUACUUUUCCACCCCGUCCAGCUCCUUUUGGAUGGCAUCUAUUCCUUCUCUUUUGUCAGUUGCACCACACAACUUGACGUCAUCAACAGAUUUGCCAAGGAUGCACUCAGUCCCACCAUCUAUAUCACUGAAAAAGAUGUCAAGGAGCACCAGUCCCAAGACAAACUCCUGGGGGACACCACUCAUCAGCAGCCUCCACUUCAAUGUAGAAGCACUGACAAUAGCCUUCUGGCUUUCAUCACCCAACCAAUUAUUUAUUCAUUGAAUAACCUAGACUUCAACCCAUCUCUCUGUAAUUUAGAGAUAAGGGUAUGGUGUGGGACCAUGUUAAAGACCUUGCAGAAAGUAGAUGACAUGUGUUUCCCUUCUUUUGUACAGUGAUGUUGUAACUCUAUAGUAGAAGGCAACUAGAUCAGUCAGGCACAAUUCGCCAUUGGUGAAUCUGUGCUAGUUCUCAUAGAUCAUCUUCUUGUCUUGCAUUUGUCUUAACAUAUCUUCCAGGAUAAUUUGUUCCAUGUCCUUCCUGGGCACAGAUGUGAGGCUGAAUGCCCUGUAGUUCCUUGAGCCUCCCUUUAUUUCUUUCUUAAAAAUCUAGUCACCAGUCAUUUGACAACCUUGAGGAGAAUAGCCUGACAACCACACCAGACAAUUCCUUCAGGACCCUGGGAUACAUGUCAUCUGGCCCCACAGACUUGAGCUUAUUCAAUCUUAUGAGGCAGUCUUGGACUUGCUCUUUGUUACAGUGGGAGUGUUUUUCUCCUCCAACCCCUGCGCAGAUGUUCAGGGGUAUGAGAGACAUGGAUAGCAUGGCUGCCAGUGAAGACUUAGCCAAGGAACUAGUUGAAUAUCUCAGCUUUCUCCAUUUCUGUUGUUGUCAGUUAGUAAAUACAAGUGGGACAAGAUGUGGACUCAGUCUCAAGAUUGUCUGUCCUGUUUAUAUGUUAGUAUGCCCUUUGGCAUUGGUUGGGCUAGUACUGCUCCAGGCAGUGCCUCAGAAUAGCAAGAGCAGAGCUGUUGGUCUUAGCAAUUUGAAUGUGACUUCUCAGUUCAUUAAGAUAGAUCUAGUUAACAGGAGAGAAAGAAAAGUCCUGAUGUCAUUAUUUAGUCAAUUUGAAGUCAUCCCUCUGAUCAGAAUUUCAGGUUUAGUGGCCUCUCAACUACUGUUGAUGUUGGAGUUCCCUUGUCAUUCUGAUUGAUUACGAUUUCUAUGUUAUUCAUUUUCCUUUUUGUUCUGGCCAUUUAUUCUCUUUCUUUCUAGAGGAAUGCCAAGAGAUCCUUCAUUUUCUGCCUCUCUAUUCCUGUGAAAUUAUUUCUUAUGAAAUUAUCUGCCCUACAGUUAAAUUUUAUCUUAUUAGCUUUUUGUGACUCACAGGUCUUUAUCUAUAUUCUUGAUCUGCCAAACCGCUGUCCAGCCUCACAUUUCUGUUUCUCAGACAAUUUCUAUAUUAUUUGUUAAUGUAUCAGUAACAAAUUAUCAGGAUAAGGUAAAUCCCUCAUGCUUCAUAAACUCAUUCUAUCUUCUAGGCGUUAUCAAACCUGCAUAAUUCAUAGUAUUAUAAUUUUCCCCUAACCACCACUUCCACUAAGGCUGUAAAAAAUGAGAAAUUGAUGUUUACGGCAUUUUUUGUUUCCUUCUUCUUGUAAGUUCCACUGUUGUAUGAGUAAUAUAUUGAAUUUUCUCUGGUUUUUGCUUUAUUACUAUUUGGUUUAAAGGAGAUUUAAUAAUUGCUUAAACAUUCUAAAAGCAGUAGUCAGUCUUGCAUGCAUUAUCUAUGGGUGAUUUCAUAUGAAUAUCAAAUAUGAAAAAUACAACUUCAAGUCUGACUACUAUUGAGAACAGAGGAAUAUUUGUUUAAACAAUGACCAUCUAUAACAAACCGUAAAAGAACUAAUGCACCAGGUUUAUAGAAGAAAUAUGCAAUACGUAUCAAAUCUUCCUCAUGUUAGUACCACCAUAUUUGUCAUAGAUGUCAUGGUAACUGUUGAUAAUUCUUAUGAUAUUUUAGUUUAUAUCUUGCCUCUGUUUAGAACCAUAACAAAAUUUGUCCAGUGAUUUAAGAAGGCUGUCUCCUUUCUAUAUGUGCAGUUUGGCUGAAAAUUAAUACUACUGAAUUUCAUGAGCAAUAGUAUUCCAUUACAUUUAGAAUAAAGGUGAUAGGAAAAAAAAAAAUGUGUAGUUUAUAGAAUGGUGUCAGCUGAACCAAGAAACUGAGAACAAGUUAUCUUGCAGUUUCCCACAGACUGCUGAAAGCAGUACUUAUCUACAUUAAACUGAUGAUUAUAUUGAUGAAUUCAAUUUUUUUUACCAUAGCCUGGGUUACUGUUGAAAAAAAAAAAUCACUAAAAAUUCAUAGGAAUUUAUUUGCAGAGGUAAUUAAUACAAGAAGUUACAACUAGAUUUAAUUCCAAACAGCAGAAUAGGAUUUCAAUAUGAAAAAUUAGGAAAUAUGUUUAAAAUAAGUUAAAAACAGCUAAGUAGAGUUUAGUUUUUAAUAAAUUAGUCUUGGUAGAAUCUGAAUUCAUAAAAAAAGAUAUCUGUGGGGAUAAUAUUUUAUUUUAUUUUAUUUUAUUUUAUUUUAUUUUAUUAUCUUAUUCUGGAAAGAAUAAGAAAGCCAUUACUUGACUUUCAGCCAUCUUAAGUGAUUAGUUAAGAAUGAACAAGCUUUUUUUCCCCCAAAAUUUUAACACCCAUGUACUAUGUGAACCAUAUUACAAUUUAAUAUUCUUUUGUGUUUUGAACUAUCAAAGCUUACCCUUUACCUUGGAAGUAAGCUAUCAUCUUUUGCUUUUACUGAAGAAUAAACAGGAGGGGAAAAAAGUAAAUUCUACCAGCAUGCUGAAAGAAUAAUUUAAUGUAUUUCAUCAGAAUUAAAGGAAAAUGGAAUUCAAGAAAGAAUUCUGGCAGAAAGUGAUCUCUAAUGAGCAAGAUUACUUACUGUGUGACAGUAUAGUACACUAUUAUUUUAAAAAGUGCUAGUGAUUAGAUUAAUAAGAAAAACUUUAUUAAUAUCUAUGUAAAUUUAUGCAUACACUAAUUGGUAUACUACAGUAAAUUUUAACUUAAUUAAACAAGAGUUUCAAACAAUAUUCCAGUUACUUUGAAUUUUCCAUCUUCCUCCAAAAAAGCCAGUUGUUAUGAGACUAUGCCUAAUGGCUUUAGGAAAACAUUAAAGCCUUUGAAAUAUUUACAAAUAAGUAGUGCAACCAUUUGUGAUUAUUUUUGUUGUAUAUAAAGAACUUGGAUAUAGGAACACCCAGUGAGCGAGUGUCAAAGUUUGUUUUGGGGGAUGACUGCUCAGCCUCCCAUUGACAAUGGCUGAGAUUCCAGUUGUUAAUGAGACAGGAAUGUAAGCAUAAUAGCGUCAGCAGAGCACCUGAAACUGAGGGCAUUCUGCUUGAAUGAAGUUAUUCUGAAUUACGUAGUAUUUACAUAUAAGUACAUUAAUUAGUACUUUUCUGUAUUUCAUUUUAUAUACUUGUAAGAGAAGAAAAAGGAAAUCCUGUUCUUAGGAAAGCCAAAUGAGGAUGCGGAUAUUGUUGAUAUUUUUAUUUACUUCAGUUCUGAUUCUCUGGGACAGGUUAUACUGGUCUCCAGCUGCUAAUAACCAAUAUUAAAUAAAAAUGUCUCAUGAUGAGUCUAGGCUGUCAUCUGGGAUUGGAUGGCUUUGUUUUCCUGCAAUCAUGGCUCUCACCUGAGAACCGUGAUUAUUUUCCCUCAGUUUGACCAUCAGGCCUUUGCUCAGCCAUUCUUGCCUCCUCUGCUUGAUUUCUUAUGCUAGAGGAGGGAGAGCUCUUGUGUUCUCAGAAAAGUAUCCUGACAGAGCUGCCAUCUUCUCUGUUCUAUUCCUUUUCCCCCAAGGACAGUCUGCUAGGGGAUUUCACCCAAUAAUUCCUUGAGCAGUUGAAAUUUCACUCACUUGAACUUCAGUGUCCCAACUCUGUUUUUUUACAGGCCAUAUUCCUCAAAGUCAUGGAACUUGACCAGGUCAUGGUCACUACAGCCCAGACUGCCUCUAAUCUUUACCCCUCUGAUGAUAUCUUCUGCAUUGAUGAUCCAGUAAUGCUUCAGUUCUUUUUGCUCUGUCCAAUACAUGAACCAGGAAUUUAUCUUCAGUGGACUCUAGGAAUUUCUUGGAUAGUUUGUAGCUUGCUGUGGUGUUUUUGUUUGUUUGUUUGUUUGUUUGUUUGUUUUUGUUUUGUUUUGUUUUCUUCCCCAGAGAUAUCUGGGUGGUUGAAAUCAGGAUGAAAGCCUGCAAGAGCGAUCCCUCUUUGUUGCUGAAGAAGAAGGCUUUUUCCACAGACUCCCCUGCUCCGCCUGAUGAAGUAGCCUGUAGAAGACCCCAACCAGUGGACAUAAUUUGUUGUUUCCAAGAAAAUACAUAGGAGGAAUUACUUUCAAGGUGACAUAUGCAGUUCAAGACAAUUCCUCUUCUCUCAGUGCAGUCCUGACAAGCCAAAAGGUUGGACGCCCAUGGACUACUGCCUCUCUUUUGUUAUGAAUGACACUGGAAAAGAAGGCUGUCAAGCAAGUACUGUCACAUGUGGAUUAUCAGUUUGAGAGGAAGACACUGAAAGGCAUAAGAUUUCAGAAUAAUCAUACAAUCAAAGAAUCAUUAAGACCACUGAAAAUGUCACUAAGAUCAUCUAGUCCGACCAUCAACCCAUGAUCACCAUGUUCCCUAAGCCGUGUCUCUAAGUGCCAUGUCUACAUGUUUCUUGAAAACCUCCAGGGAUGGUGACUCCAUUUCUUCCCUGGUCAGUUUGUUCCAAUACAUUAACACUCCAAGAAGAAAUUUUCCUAAUGUCCAACCUGAACCUCCCCUCGUGCAACUUAAAGCCGUUCUCUCUCAUCCUAUUGCUGUUACCUGGGAGAAGAAUCCAAUCUCCACCUUGCCACAAUUUCCUUUCAGGCUGCUGUAGUGAGCUACAAAGUCUCUCCUGAGCCUCCUCUACUCAAGACUUCACAAUCCCAGUUCCCUUAGCCACUCCUCAUAAGUCUUGUGCUCCAGAUCUAAUUAAAGGGAAUAUUCUCAUUAGACAGUACCUUAUUUAUAGAUAAUUAAUUGUAUAGGAAUAUAAAAUCAGAUAAUCUAUUUUCUUCCUUCAGAGAAAUUAUUUUUCUGGUUUAUUUUUAGAUAUUUUGACUGUCUAUAUUGUUGGGCUGAACUUGCCAAACUUCAUAGUAUCCAUAUACAUCCUAAGCCCACAGGUCUAGCCCAUCAGACCAAUUUAAAGGGGAUCAAAAAGUUGUCUACAUGCUCAGCACCAGAAUCCUGAGUGAAAUAUAUGUGCCAGGACUUUUUUGUUAAGAGGCUAUAAUGAUUUAUUUAUACAGUUUGCUACUUUUGGAGAAAUUCUACAUGUUGUUAAUAUGUAUAAAUUUACAUUUUUCAGUACUUAAGAGAUUUUAAUUUUUAUUAAAGCAUAUAAAAAUUGCAGAUGUAGCAGAUUUUCUAAGAUACAGCAAGUUAGCAACUUUUUCCUGGAUUCUUUUUGUACCAUACUUUCUUAUAUUAUUGUAGAUUAUAUGGCACAAAGCACUCAUCUGAGAAGCUUGAAAAAUAUUAAAGAUAUUACUUGAAGUUAGAGAAUUACCCCCCAAAUAUAUUAUUUUAUAGAAGUGAUAGAAUUCUGUACAUAUAUGUAUAAACAAAUAUAAAACUUACAUAAAUUUAAAAUAUAUUCCAUGUGUUUGUAUGCAUGUACAUAUAUAUAUGCAUAUAUAUAUAUAUGGGGUACACAUAUACUCCAUGGAAAAUUCAUAAAUACUUCCUCAUAUUCAUACAAAAAUGUAUGUAUCAUAUUUGAAUUAUUAGAGUGCAAGAUGCUGAAUAUUUUUUAGAGAGCAUAAAAUGUAUUUCUUGUGACUGAAAAAAUGUGACUGGAAAAAUGUGAUCUAAAAUGAGGAAUUAGCCAAAUAUUUCAGAUUCAGAAAGAGCAUAGCAACCUGUUGCUGCUAUCAGUAAAGCUGGAUAGCAUGGUCUUCCUGGAAUGGAUUCUGUACAUGGUUAAUCAAAUAGUCAUUAAUUCAAAUCCUCUGAAUUACUGUGAAAAGUGAAUUCAUGUACAUAUCUUUUCUCUCAAAAGGAAGUUGCCUACCUUGUAUCCUGUGAUAAAGAUUUAUUCUAUUAAAACCAUAAAAGGCUCACUGAGCAAAAUGGGAGAUUUGUGAUCCAUCUUAGAGUAAUUUUUUUUCUACCUUUUUAGUGAAAAUACUAUCAUGCUUUCUAUAGACAUACAGAAUAUACUGUCAGUGAAUUCACUGUCACAGUGAAUUAACCCCCUUCUCAGAAGCUCGGUGUACCCUUUUUGAUAAUUUGAUAAUUUGUGUUUCAGUAAUUGCUGCUGGGGCACUUUUGUAGGCCAUUUAUAGUUUGCUGUACUUGUGUUAUUCAAUAUUCACAUAAUCAAUAAGAAACAUUAGCACAUACAUACAGGACACAUCUAAGGCAUGAUCCUAUUGAAGAUUUUUAAUUAUGGAGAUUUCUAAAACUGCCUUUAAAUCCUCUCCAGAUUUUCAGAUAAAUAAACUUGCACAAGAUACAGCAACAAUGACAUACCAAAAAAAAAAAAAAAAAAGGUCUUUUAAUCAAAUCACAGUGUAAUUACUCUCUAACACUCAAAUCACCUCCAUUAUUUAAAUAAACUUUUAAGAAACUGCUGGUAUAGUCUAGGACUGCAAAGAGUCAUUUAAACAGAAAGGUUUUAUGAGUUCUUGCCUGUCUUGGCAAGAAGGCAGUGUGCUCACAUUUUACAAGAGUUAUAGGAGAUAUUUUGAAAAAAAAAAAAAAAUGGAAAUCUUUGAAGAAUGCAUAUACUGUGAAAGCUCUCCAUAUCAGAAGUAUUGCUGCCUUGCAAUAUUUACAGUAAUACUUCUGGUCUGCUGUGCACCUUUUCUGCUUAGCAAUUAGACAUGGUAUUUAUCAUGAAAACGCACACAUUUUUAAUGUUUGAUAUACAAUUGCACUAAAAAACGAGCCAAAUUGAGCCAUUAAAACAAUCUAUCUAUUCAUCAUAACUUCUGUAUUUCCAUUUGCUUCUGUCUUGAAUGUUUGCUAUUUAAACAGCAUUAUCAUAAAGAUUCUAUAGAAAUUAUUGUUGAAUUUAGGAAUUCAUAAAACAGUAUUACAGUUUGUUGAGAUUUAUUUAGUAGUCUUCAUGAAUGAAUGUAUUUUUUCUGUUGACAAAUAAGGCACUUUUUUUUAAAGUAAACUGUAAUAAAUGCCCUUUUAUUAUAUAUAUAUAUAUAUUUUGCUAAUACACGAAGUUAGUAUUCUUUCUCUGUUUGAAUUGGUUUGCACUGCUUGAAUGAAUUGUACAUGCAAGAAGAGAAAAAAAAUAUAUUUAUUAAACAUAGUUUAAGCCACAACAUCUAUUUCUAAUUAUGAAAAAAAAAAAUCAGGACAUAUACGAGUGUAAAAUUUUUUGAACAAUGUAGGGUUUCCAUUAUCUCGCUCCAAUUUAUAGGAGGGAGAGGAGGUUCUUUGUAUAUGGUAAUUGCCAGGGAGAAGCAAGGACAGACAAUCAGCAGGGAAUUAUAUCUGCGAGAUAGCUGGUUUCAUCAGCUUUGACAACAUCAACUUGAUGAAGACAGAGACACAGCUUUGAAGGAGAGCAUCUCCUCCUUUCUCUACCUAGUGGCUACUCUUUGUUCAAGAGACCUCACGACAAAACAAAGUGCCAGUGCACAGAUGGUAUCCAGAUAACCAUAGUGGAGGCAUGACUAGAGAAGAACAGCCAUCCGGCUGAGGAUGACAGACAACAUCAGAGGAUGGCUAUACAUACCGGACAUGAUCCAUCCUAGGGUUCAUUGGAAUAGACAUCACUACAAUUAAAUUUGACAGAGAAGUGUUGCAAAGAAAAUACUGAAACUUCUCCAUUGUUUCUUGUAUAUUAAGUGUAUAAGAUGUCCCUACUCUUCACCUGUUCAGGUAACUCCCUUGCAUGCAGAGGUCCUUUCAGGCAUCUCAGCCACACACAUUGCUCUUACAGCCAAGUGGGUGCUGUGGUAGGCUACAAAGAAUGCUGCCAGGAUGGAGUUUGGAUGGAGGGAAAAAUUCUUAUAUACAGGUAUAUGAAGACUCAAGCUCAGGAACUAUUCACCAUUUGUGUAUACUGGGCUGAAAGUUUGGUACUUUUACAUUCAGAUGGAUAGAAUAGCUCAAUAUCCACAUCGGGGAGCUCAACUGUUUUGGUGGAUACUAAAAUUGAUCUUUAGAGAAUUUAAUGAAGUAUGAUUAAAACAGAGGCAAAGUGAGAGUAGAAAGUGCAGUGAAAGCAUAGACUAUAAUCAAUUUUAAUGUUUUCAGUAUGGAUCAAUAUUCUAUAUUUUUCUUCUACUAGGGAGUACUCUAUCCAAUUCCAAUAACUCAAAUACACAAUCAUUAAAUUCUAUACAAUAAAUUACACAUCUUACAAAUACAAAGAGUAUUACCAUCAUAUGGAGAUAAUGAUUUAAUACUGGCUUACAGGAAAUGAUAUUACCUUUCCAUUCAACAGCAGUAUUCCAGAUAAAGUCAUUUGUAGUACUGGGGCUACACACAUACACGUCAGUAACCAUGUAAUCUAUAUUUGCAGUGUGAACUUCUAUAUUUAUUUUGCUGCUCACCUGUUCAUCUUGCCUCCUGCCAGGUACUAUAUUAGGGAUGAGAUUUAUUUUCAGAAAUCUGACAUGCUCUCCAUAUAUCCAUUAAUAAAUUUCAAACAAUUACUACUUAGCUUUAAUUCUAGAAAGUUUUAUAACUUCACUCCUCUUGAAUCUUUUAUUUAAAGAAAAAAUGUUAAUGUUUAAUAUAUAGGAUUAAAAAAAAAAAAGUAUUUUUAUUAUCCUUUACAAUGUUUGUCUUCUUCAUGCCUACACAAUAGUGGUAAAUUCUGUUGGUAUAUAUUCAAAAACAAACAGACAAAAAACCAACAUUUUUUACAUAAUUAAAUAUCAGAAGAUUUAUCAUUGGAACUGGAGGUGACAUGUAACCUUGCAGAAAAUUCAUAAUUAUUUUGAGGAUCUAAUGAAGAAAAAUUUCCAUGUGUUUUUUUAGUUUUUCCCUCCUGGGAACCUGAAUUUAGGAGAGACUUGGUAAAAACAGAUACGAAUGGCAGCUGACAAUGAAUGUAAUCAGAGAAAACAUUUAAUGACUCAAGUUUGUUUGUUUUUUCAGAUUUUUGCUAUUAUUCGUUUGAGCUACUUGAACAGUAUCAUAUGACUUAGAUACAGUUACAGAAUUUUUUUAGCUGGCUUGCAUAACAUUUCUCUACUAAAGUUAGGACCAAAUCUGGAAUCCAAAUCCAAACUCAAACCUACAUACACUCUGGGAUUUUUAUUUUGAUUCCAGCAAUAAUAUCCACAUAGUGGAAGUAUUUACUUCUGCUACAAUCAUGCUUGAUUGACUACAUAUAUAUUUUUUUGAAACUAUCAAG